RNAcentral lists this unclassified non-coding RNA (174 nucleotides) under Celeribacter baekdonensis. RNAcentral's name for it is "caulobacter sRNA CC2171". The record is from RNAcentral. Lineage: Bacteria; Pseudomonadati; Pseudomonadota; Alphaproteobacteria; Rhodobacterales; Roseobacteraceae.
AAUUCAUCGAAAGGAGGUGGUCCAGUGUCUAGAGUGAUAGUGGAGAAUGAGGUCAAGACAGUCGGGGGGGCCGCGACCUAGAGGCAGUCCUUUGGGUUAAACACCCCUGAUUGGGCCUUUCCUAACUGGCCCAUCUCCGAAGAUCUCGAAGGGCUGUCUGAUCUGGACAGCCCU